GAUGAACGCUGGCGGCGUGCCUAAUACAUGCAAGUCGAGCGAACGGACGAGAAGCUUGCUUCUCUGAUGUUAGCGGCGGACGGGUGAGUAACACGUGGAUAACCUACCUAUAAGACUGGGAUAACUUCGGGAAACCGGAGCUAAUACCGGAUAAUAUUUUGAACCGCAUGGUUCAAAAGUGAAAGACGGUCUUGCUGUCACUUAUAGAUGGAUCCGCGCUGCAUUAGCUAGUUGGUAGGGUAACGGCUUACCAAGGCAACGAUGCAUAGCCGACCUGAGAGGGUGAUCGGCCACACUGGAACUGAGACACGGUCCAGACUCCUACGGGAGGCAGCAGUAGGGAAUCUUCCGCAAUGGGCGAAAGCCUGACGGAGCAACGCCGCGUGAGUGAUGAAGGUCUUCGGAUCGUAAAACUCUGUUAUUAGGGAAGAACAUAUGUGUAAGUAACUGUGCACAUCUUGACGGUACCUAAUCAGAAAGCCACGGCUAACUACGUGCCAGCAGCCGCGGUAAUACGUAGGUGGCAAGCGUUAUCCGGAAUUAUUGGGCGUAAAGCGCGCGUAGGCGGUUUUUUAAGUCUGAUGUGGAAGCCCGCGGCUCAACCGUGGAGGGUCAUCGGAAACUGGAAAACUUGAGUGCAGAAGAGGAAAGUGGAAUUCCAUGUGUAGCGGUGAAAUGCGCAGAGAUAUGGAGGAACACCAGUGGCGAAGGCGACUUUCUGGUCUGUAACUGACGCUGAUGUGCGAAAGCGUGGGGAUCAAACAGGAUUAGAUACCCUGGUAGUCCACGCCGUAAACGAUGAGUGCUAAGUGUUAGGGGGUUUCCGCCCCUUAGUGCUGCAGCUAACGCAUUAAGCACUCCGCCUGGGGAGUACGACCGCAAGGUUGAAACUCAAAGGAAUUGACGGGGACCCGCACAAGCGGUGGAGCAUGUGGUUUAAUUCGAAGCAACGCGAAGAACCUUACCAAAUCUUGACAUCCUUUGACAACUCUAGAGAUAGAGCUUUCCCCUUCGGGGGACAAAGUGACAGGUGGUGCAUGGUUGUCGUCAGCUCGUGUCGUGAGAUGUUGGGUUAAGUCCCGCAACGAGCGCAACCCUUAAGCUUAGUUGCCAUCAUUAAGUUGGGCACUCUAAGUUGACUGCCGGUGACAAACCGGAGGAAGGUGGGGAUGACGUCAAAUCAUCAUGCCCCUUAUGAUUUGGGCUACACACGUGCUACAAUGGACAAUACAAAGGGCAGCGAAACCGUGAGGUCAAGCAAAUCCCAUAAAGUUGUUCUCAGUUCGGAUUGUAGUCUGCAACUCGACUACAUGAAGCUGGAAUCGCUAGUAAUCGUAGAUCAGCAUGCUACGGUGAAUACGUUCCCGGGUCU
This 1372-nucleotide ribosomal RNA is filed under the name uncultured bacterium. Its description in RNAcentral is "bacterial SSU rRNA". It matches the Rfam family "Bacterial small subunit ribosomal RNA", at positions 28 to 1381 of the family's 1533-position model. The record is from RNAcentral.